GCCACACGCGGAGAGCACGGAGAUUUCUGGGGCUUUGGAGGGAAUCGUGAGCGGGCGGGAGGAGGCCGGGGACCACACAGAGAAUAACUUGUCUGACUACCAGUAUUCUUGGAUGCAGAAGUGCUGAAGAUGAGCACACACACGUACGGAGAAUUUCUGGAGAAUUCAGCUGCUCAGAACAAGAACUGAGAUCCAGAGAGAUGAUGACUUUGCCCAUAGACCAAACAAAGAAAUACAUGUUUCAGUCCUGUGUCCUCCUGCUAUGUGUGUCCGGAAUUGGUGGGUUCUUGGUCUCACUGACUUCAAGAAUGAAGCUGCGGACCCUCGCGGACCGUGUGUGAAUGCCUGCUCUGUGAGCCCUCAGAAUCUACUGGCUGAAUGAGUGCGUGGAGGAAAUGUGCUCAGAGCUGCUGUGUGUCAUCCUGUGUUUGAAGUGCUCCUGCAGCUAUCAUUCAUCCAGUUAAGAAUUUGAAGAAGUGUGUGCACAAAGGAUGUACCAGACUAUUAAUAUUGGUGACCAUGGGCUAGGGACUCACAGGAUAUCGGCCAUGUUAAUGAGUCUGAUGUUGCUAGUAUCACAGGCACCGGAAAAUAUGCACAUUAUGCUGGAGCAUUAGAAUGCAACAGAAAGAGCCCUGGGCUUGGAGUAUGCAGAACUGGUUCUUGUUACAACUCCUCUUACUAGUGGGCUCUGGAAGAAAACACAUUGAAUUCAUGAUCAUGGUUAACCUUUGGAGAGAGAGAGGAGACCAGGAUGAAGGAGCCAGUCGAAGAUCCUGUUCAAGUGUACACUGAGCCAGCAGGUUCACCAGAAAGCUAUUGAGCGUUUGCUGGAACACAUUAUGCAGGGUGAAUUUCUUCUGGAAUGUUGCCAAGGAUUUUUUAUGCUUCUGUGGCAGGCAUUUCUUGAACAUUGUCAUUUAGCCAAGCAAAGAAGAUUUUCUUAAAGGAUAGAAAAUGUUUAAAAAUUUUUGUUUGUUUGAAGAUAGGUUAAAUGGCUAUAUGAUCUCAGGAUAAGACAGAGAAAAUCACUUAUUUCUCUAAGUGAUCUGAUUAGGUUAGUGAUGUUUUGCCUUUAAACAGAUUCAUCAUUAUUCCUAAAGUAUUGCUGUAUUAAUACUGUCUUCUAGAAAGUAUCCACCAGUGCCUACUUUUCUUCGAUAUCAUUAGCUGUUUUUCGAAACUGAAUUUGCUCUUCAGAGAUUUCUCAUAUGUUUGCGUAUAAGGAACUACUGGUAAUAGCCAAGAAAAUUUGGAGGUGCAGAGAACAUGCUGAAACAGAAUUUUUCACUUUCA
This is a long non-coding RNA of Homo sapiens (human), 1296 nucleotides long. Ensembl annotates it as KLF3 antisense RNA 1. Its record names the gene KLF3-AS1. Lineage: Eukaryota; Metazoa; Chordata; Mammalia; Primates; Hominidae. The record is from Ensembl.